Molecule: ribosomal RNA, 123 nt
Filed under: uncultured Alphaproteobacteria bacterium
Lineage: Bacteria; Pseudomonadati; Pseudomonadota; Alphaproteobacteria
Description: partial 16S ribosomal RNA
Rfam family: Bacterial small subunit ribosomal RNA
Source: RNAcentral
UGAUCCAGCCAUGCCGCGUGAGUGAUGAAGGCCNUCGGGUUGUAAAGCUCUUUUGUGCGGGAAGAUAAUGACGGUACCGCNAGAAUAAGCCCCGGCUAACUUCAUGCCAGCAGCCGCGGUAAU